AGUGAACGCUGGCGGUAGGCCUAACACAUGCAAGUCGAACGGCAGCACAGUAAGAGCUUGCUCUUACGGUUGGCGAGUGGCGGACGGGUGAGGCAUACAUCGGAAUCUACUUUUUCGUGGGGGAUAACGUAGGGCAACUUACGCUACUACCUCAUACUACCUACGGGUGAAAGCAGGGGAUCUUCGGACCUUGCGCGAUUGUAUGAGCCGAUGUCGGAUUAGCUAGUUGGCGUGGUAAAGGCCCACCAAGGCGACGAUCCGUAGCUGGUCUGAGAGGAUGAUCGGCCACACUGGAACUGAGACACGGUCCAGACUCCUAAGGGAGGCAGCAGUGGGGAAUAUUGAAAAAUGGGCGAAAGCCUGACGGAGCAACGCCGCGUGAGUGAAGAAGGUCUUCGGAUCGUAAAACUCUGUUAUUAGGAAAGAAAAGAAGUGGAAGAAACCGUGGAUAUCUUGACGGUACCAAAACAGAAAGCCCCGGCUAACUCCGUG
RNAcentral lists this ribosomal RNA (492 nucleotides) under uncultured bacterium. RNAcentral's name for it is "partial 16S ribosomal RNA". It matches the Rfam family "Bacterial small subunit ribosomal RNA", at positions 29 to 507 of the family's 1533-position model. The record is from RNAcentral.